Cygnus olor (mute swan) is the source of this 437-nucleotide long non-coding RNA. RefSeq lists it as uncharacterized. NCBI's taxonomy places the organism in Eukaryota, Metazoa, Chordata, Aves, Anseriformes, Anatidae. The transcript has 3 exons. The record is from RefSeq and is a predicted model, not a curated record.
AAACAUUUAUUUUCUCCUGUGAAGGAAACUCUAUUCUCCAAUCGCAUUCAAAAGGAAAAACAAGGCUGGUGAGGACUCAGUUCUGAACUUCCCCAGGAUGGAAGUAAGCAAGUUCACUAACACAGACCCAGCAGGCUGCAGAAGUAAAAAUGACUUCAGAUAAUUGAAAACCAAGAUGCCCACGCUGAUUCCAGUUCCAUGCGAGCACACAGGCUGGAUUCAAGCCUUGCCCCACCUGUACCAACUCCCCAGGGGUCUGACUCCAUCUCUCAGAGCUGCCUCCCCUUCACCCAGAGAACCCCGAGGCCUCGGUACAGAACUAAACAGCUCAAAUGAAGCAAGCUCUAUUUUUCUUACACGUUUACUUUCAGCCCAAGCCAUAAUAUGUAGAGAAAGCCAUAUGGCCAGCAAUGACAAACACGAACAUUUGUCUGCAA